CUACCGGGGCCAACUCAGCUUCAUCCAUUGUUGCUACUCUGUCUCCUUUCUUCUUCACGUCCGUUGCCUUGGUUUUGUCGUACUGAAUAUGUUGACCAUUUUGCUGUGUUUUGUUUAUUUUGAGGUGAUAUUAUGUC
Long non-coding RNA from Hibiscus syriacus, 137 nucleotides. RefSeq lists it as uncharacterized. The record is from RefSeq and is a predicted model, not a curated record. NCBI's taxonomy places the organism in Eukaryota, Viridiplantae, Streptophyta, Magnoliopsida, Malvales, Malvaceae. The transcript has 3 exons.